This is a long non-coding RNA of Oncorhynchus keta (chum salmon), 454 nucleotides long. RefSeq lists it as uncharacterized. The record is from RefSeq and is a predicted model, not a curated record. NCBI's taxonomy places the organism in Eukaryota, Metazoa, Chordata, Actinopteri, Salmoniformes, Salmonidae. The transcript is spliced from 3 exons.
GACUCUCACAGCAAGGUAACACACACACACACGUAUAGACUCUCACAGCAAGAUCCUGUAUGCGAGGGACGUGGACCAGAGGGGCCAUACGUUUGAGAAGUCUGUCCACAUGGGCAAGGAGUUCCAGAGACGAGCCAAAGCCACGAUCCUCAGAGCUGCUGUGCUGCGCAACCAGAUACAUGUCAAGGUGACCAGCUGUUACCACACGGCCCCAGUCUAGACCACAGCUGUUACCACACGGCCCCAGUCUAGACCACAGCUGUUACCACACGGCCCCAGUCUAGACCACAGCUGUUACCACACGGCCCCAGUCUAGACCACAGCUGUUACCACACGGCCCCAGUCUAGACCACAGCUGUUACCACACGGCCCCAGUCUAGACCACAGCUGUUACCACACGGCCCCGGUCUAGACCACAGCUGUUACCACACGGCCCCGGUCUAGACCACAGCUG